Equus asinus (donkey) is the source of this 5534-nucleotide long non-coding RNA. NCBI's taxonomy places the organism in Eukaryota, Metazoa, Chordata, Mammalia, Perissodactyla, Equidae. The record is from Ensembl.
ACAAAAGAAGGAUGUCGUCAAUAAGAACAAACAACACCAGGGGCAACAGAGAAGCUUUUUUGCAAACUUUCCCCUCCCUCCGCCCACCAAAGUUUAGCCACUGACAUCAAUUUCAGCACAAUCGCUCAAGAUACAAUCAAGGUGGAGGUUUAUGAAAUGUUACGAAGAGGAGCGGAAAAGCACAGCUGUGCUAUUUUCCCCCCUGACAUGUAAACUGCUGAUUAAUAUCCACAGUAGAGUUUUUUCCAUAAUUCUUUGAUUCUUCAAAAGCAAAGCUAUUAGAGUUAAGGCUUUUUGCCCCGGCCCCCUACAAAAGCAAGGAGGGGGGAGGAGAGGGUGAAAAUGAGGGAGAGUAAGAGAAAAAAGAAAAAAUUUGAUACAGAUAAAAGAAAUUAAGUGAGCCAUAAAGUCUGCACUUUAUUUUAACAGGGUUGCACCGUCCUGCUGUGCUGCCCAUAAUCCAGCUGGGAGAAGGACCCCCGCUGGGUGGCUAAUUAAAACAAUUACAAAUACAAAGAAGGUAUCAAUGGCAUUCCAGGACUCAAACAAAGAGAGAAAGCAUUGAAGAUUUAAGUUGUCAAUGGCCAAUCUCUCUUUAGGCGGUUCUGAAGAUGAGUCAGUGUCCCCAAGACUCCUCGACUCCUUUCUACACUGACUUAGGUUUGGUUAUGUGGGAACCUCCCUUCUGUUGGGUUUAUAGACAUCAAAAUAUGUCAGUGAUGGAACUAAUUUAUAGGCUUGAAAAGACUUCAUUGUCCUAGCAGGUCGGGCUAGUGGAUCUGAGUUUAAAAAUAAAAUCCUAGAUGGCAAAAGGGCCCCAGACCCUCCUUUUGAAAUCGCUACUUUCAAAAACAAGAAAACAGAAAAGACCUUGAGAACUUUUUUGCCCCAAUUCCAAGUGACAAAAUGAAAGUCAAUUUAAAAUGAGAUGAGACAGUUUUUUAAAAGGACUGUGGGCAAUUUUAGGAAUGUUAAAAAUGUAGCCAGUGUGCUAGAAUACCCCUUCAAGGUAUUUUUAAAGGGUGAUUUGCAGAAUUAAACCCAUUACCCAACAACAAUGGAAAUCUUUCUUAAUUUCCUAGACCAAACAAUUUUUUGUUUCCUUUCUGUCUUUUGCAGGUUGAACCCUUAAAGGAACACUCAGAAGUAUAAUAAGCUGGAGUUGCAUAAAUGAGUUCUCUGAUUAUGGUAAAGAUUCUGAAAAGGUGUGAAGCUGAAAGCUGCAGGCGAGACUCUACCUAGGAAAACGUCAGGCGACUUCGAGUAGGGUACAGCGCAGGACGAAGUGUGUGUCCAACGUGGACUAAAAUGUGGGAAGAGAUUCCUUUAUUAAAAAGCAGUCUACCUUCCUGGAAACAAUCCAUCACACUCCCUACGGAAGAGGAUCACACGCCCUGCGACUUCUCAACCUCUACGUGCUGAGAGACAGUCCAGGUUAAGGAACCUCUCAGGACUGCAGUCUGAAUGAGCAGAACCGAUGGCAAACGUUUCCAGUGCUUCCCCUGCUCGCAUCCUCCCUGCACCGUGGAGCAGCGUCUGUCUGAUGUUGGCAGCAGCACAAGGACAAAUCAAGACACUCAGAAGCAAAUGCUUUUGUUUUGCAGACAUAGGACCAGAGAUGCGGGGAAGUGUUACCCUGGGGCCUGAACAGCAUCAGGCGUGACAGCAGAUGUUUAGUGCCAUGGGUUGCACAGUGCCGCUGUUGAGUACCAGAUACUGAGGGGAUCUGCCUGUGACUUUUAAUAAAUAGUGUGUGUGUGCUGUCUAUUCAGAACCACUAAAGGGAGGAGUCCAGGGCAAGGGUUCCUCUUGCCCAAAUCUAAAGGCUCCAUUAGACAACCAACCAAGCACUCAAGCAGGAAGAUGAAGACUGCUGGCACCACAUGGCAGAUCAGAGACACGACAGGGAGUGGCAGAGAGGCGGUGACCUGGGGAGCCCACGCCUGUCUGAAGAGAACUGUCUAUAUUCUGCCCUUACCCACAUACUGACUUGUAGGAAAGUCGAAGUCACGUUGCUGGACUGUCUGAUUUCUCAGGAGAAUGCCACAUUUCGGGUUUUUAUGUGAAAAAAAUUGAUAUCGACAAAUAAUCCAAAUUAAUAAACUUAAAAAGUACAUUUGAGGGGAUCACAUCUUUAGGCUAGAUUUGUUCCCAAAGCCACCACGAACACUUUUCUGGGCUACUGCAUUUUACUACUUUGUGCUUACUUUUGAAGCAUUUACGAUCGCUAAUUCCUCAUUUUGGAUAAAUACUAAAGCAAUGACAGGGUGAGAAUCAUGGAAGAAGAAGAGGCAUAUGAUUAGGUUAGAAAAGAAAGUGCAGGUUAGGUUUACACCGAUGUGUAUGCAAGGGUUACACAUAUUCUGUCACUUUGUCUUUGCAGGAUGUGGACUCAGCGACAUCCUGUCUGUAAGCAGAGAAGCCUCCACACGUGGACAUGUGAGGCUGUCUUUGGCUCUGCUGCUCAGUUCAGAUAAUUUUCGAGAGAUCUCCAUUGUACUUCAACUUAUUUUUCAGUAAUAGGAGAGUGAGUGGUGAAAAAUGUGAGAUUAGAUUGUGAAAGAAUGAAGUUAGAGAUCCCAGGGGAGUAUCUCUAGAGAUGUGAAGAUUCGGGACAUGGGGUUACCUCCUGUGCUUCUCAAAGGGCAAGCAGAAGAUAUCUGGCACGGGAAUGGGGAGGGAGCAAGAACAGGGGAGGAUAGCAAGUAUGUUUCAGGCAUUUCGGAGCCCAAGCAAGAUGCCCAGUGGAGUGGUUAAGAGGUCAGACCGUCCCAAGUUCAAGACCCAGGACUAAAUUUACAAGCUGCAAAAAGUUGCUUUUCCCUCUGAGCUUGUUUCAUCAUUUGUUAAGAAGGUGAUAAUGAUGAUUUACCUCAAAGGGCUGCUGUGAGCAGUAAAUGAGCUAAUCAAAGCCAAGCUCUAGUGCACAUUCCUCAGGAAGUACUCAAUAAAUGCCGGUGAUUAUUAGUAGGACAAUGAUUGGGAUUAGUGGGGUGAAUUCGGGAAUCAUCUGCAGAAAGGUGGACAGUUGAAAUCUGAAGAGAGCACCUUGGAAGGGGGGCAUAUAUAUUGGGGAGCACAUCUAUUUGAGGGAGUAAGGAAAAAAAAUGGAAGCCUGAAAGGGGUCAGAGAAGGAACAGUCAGGUAGCAGAAAUGCCAAGACAGGGUUUAGGGAAGGCCCCUGUAUGAAAAUAAAAUAGAGACUUUAUUUUCAGAAUAGUGCUGAGCAUGAAAAUGAUUUAGAAUGGUGCCUUAUAAACUUUAGAGUACCAAAGAAUCACCUGGGAGAGUGUAAAUGUUUAAAAUGUAGAUUCCCAGAAAGCCUGACUCAGUAGGUCUGGGCUCAGGCCCAGGAAUCUAUAUGGAUUCCAACUGCAGAUAGACAACAAACCACACUUGGAAGAACACUGUGUUAAGACUGAGUGUGCAGCCAGGGAGAGGAGACAGAGUGGCUACCAUCCUUUCAAGGUAGUUGGUUAGGGCAUACAUGUGUCUUAGCCUCCACUACCCAUGCAUUAAAGAAAGUCUUUCCAGAGAAAAGUCUUUGAGAGAACACAGGUUGCUUUCAAUAGGUUGCUUGGUGAGUAAAGGGAGGGGUGGUGGUUGGUGGUGUUUAUUUCUCCUGCAUAUAUAUAAUGGCCAAGGGGUCUUAACCAUCUGUGGCCCUGGGUUUGGAAGGGUGAAUUAAAUUGGUUGAUUUUCAAGUAUCAAACCAACCUUGCAUUCCUGGAAUAAUCCAACUUCGGUCAUGAUGGAUGGUGGGAAAGAGACACAUUGCUCAGACCUCAAUCUCAGGCUCUGGGCUCCCUUUCCUCUCUCUAGCCUUCUAGCAGACACGACCUAUCCAAACAACACAACAGCUCCCUGAGACUUGGAAAUAAACACCAGGUCUUCUAGAACAGUGAACUUCAAAAUACUUUUUACUUAUACCCUCUAAGAUAUUUUUUAAAAAGUAUAUAUACUCCCUUACAUGUUUUAAAGUUGAUAUCUCAAAUGUUUCACAUAUUAACUGCUUAAAAGGAUUCUGGGGCAUUGUAAUUAUUUGUUAUAUCAUUUAAAAAAUAUAUUCAAUAGGCCAGCCCGGUGGCAUAGCGGUUAAGUGUGCACGUUCCACUACGGCAGCCCGGGGUUCACCAGUUUGGAUCCUGGGGUCAGACACGGCACCACUUGGCACACCCUGCUGUGGCAGGCGUCCCACAUAUAAAGUAGAGGAAGAUGGGCAUGGAUGUUAGCUCAGGGCCAGUCUUCCUCAGCAAAAAGAGGAGGAUUGGCAGCAGUUAGCUCAGGGCUAAUCUUCCUCAAAAAAAAAAAAAAAAUUUCAAAGUAAUCCAAAUAUCAUGCAUCCUUGAUCUCUACCAUCAUCUAUUUAAAUAAUACAUGAACAAGCUGUUCUUUAAAAGUUGAAAUUUUACAUCAUUAUUUAAGGAGUUUUCCUCUUUAAAUUUGUACUUCCAUUCCACUUCCCCAUUAAAUUUUCUAUUAAUGUAAUAAUUUUUUGGCUUAGAAGUCUUGUAUUGAUCACCCUAUUUUUUUUUUUUUUUAAAGAUUUUUUAUUUUUUCCUUUUUCUCCCCAAAGACCCCCGGUACAUAGUUGUAUAUUCUUUGUUGUGGGUUCUUCUAGUUGUGGUAUGUGGGACGCUGCCUCAGCGUGGUUUGAUGAGCAGUGCCAUGUCCGCGCCCAGGAUUCGAACCAAUGAAACACUGGGCCGCCUGCAGCGGAGCGCGCGAACUUAACCACUCGGCCACGGGGCCAGCCCCUUGAUCACCCUAUUAAACCUCUUGGCAGAAAAAUUUAUAUAUAUUUAAUAAAAAACCUUUUUAACUUCCUUUGAUCAGAAUUGAGUUACUACUAUAAUGAUUAUUUUUAUGUAAUUGAUGAAAACAAGGUGAAUGUAUUACAAAAUCAGAACUAACAGAAGGUUGAUAAUUGUUGAAGCUGGGUCAUGGGUGCAGAAAGGAUCAUGACGAUUCUCACUCCACUCUAUGUUUGAAAUUUUCCAUUAAAAAAAAGUUUAGAAACCUCUUGAAGAAAUAAAUGUGCUAUAAAUUCUGGUUAAAAAUUCCUAAACAAAAAAACAUAAAAUUUUUAUUGGUCAGGCUGGCCUGGUGGCGCAGCGGUUAAGUGCGCAUGUUCUGCUUCUCGGCGGCCCAGGGUUCGCCGGUUCAGAUCCUGGGUGCGGACAUGGCACCUGCUUGGCAAAAGCCAUGCUGUGAAAAAAAAAGAAAAAAAAAAAAAAGCCAUGCUGUGGUAGGCGUCCCACAUGUAAAGUAGAGGAAGAUGGGCAUGGAUGUUAGCUCAGGGCCAGUCUUCCUCAGCAAAAAGAGGAGGAUUGGCAGUAGUUAGCUCAGGGCUAAUCUUCCUCAAAAAAAAAAAAUUUUUUUUAUUGGCAAUAACAUUUUAACAAGAUGGAUAUGACUUGAACGGUCCCUUUCUUUGGCGCCAAUCAAGUAGCAACCACUAUUACCAGGUUCUUGUGUAUCUUUCUAGUGACACUGGAUGAAUAUAUAAAUGAAUAUUCCUAUGUACUUUUUCU